CGAAAAGAACCCCGGCGAGGGGAGUGAAAAAGAACCUGAAACCGUGUACGUACAAGCAGUGGGAGCCCCACCACCAAAGCAUUCUCUGGUGUUGAAGGCCCUGCAAAGCAGCAUCGCGGUGGCGGAGCGUCGUUUGCGACGCCCAACACACAAAACAAGCGGUGAAUGCUUUGGGGUGGGGUGACUGCGUACCUUUUGUAUAAUGGGUCAGCGACUUAUAUUCUGUAGCAAGGUUAACCGAAUAGGGG
This 248-nucleotide ribosomal RNA is filed under the name Salmonella enterica subsp. enterica serovar Typhimurium. RNAcentral describes it as "partial 23S ribosomal RNA". It matches the Rfam family "Bacterial large subunit ribosomal RNA", at positions 515 to 662 of the family's 2925-position model. Lineage: Bacteria; Pseudomonadati; Pseudomonadota; Gammaproteobacteria; Enterobacterales; Enterobacteriaceae. The record is from RNAcentral.